This 478-nucleotide ribosomal RNA is filed under the name uncultured bacterium. RNAcentral's name for it is "partial 16S ribosomal RNA". It matches the Rfam family "Bacterial small subunit ribosomal RNA", at positions 28 to 507 of the family's 1533-position model. The record is from RNAcentral.
GACGAACGCUGGCGGCGUGCUUAACACAUGCAAGUCGAACGUGAUUUUUGUGGAAAUUCUUUCGGGAAUGGAAAUGAAAUGAAGGUGGCGAACGGGUGAGUAACACGUGAGCAACCUACCUUACACAGGGGGAUAGCCGUUGGAAACGACGAUUAAUACCGCAUAAGACCACAGAAUCGCAUGAUAUAGGGGUCAAAGAUUUAUCGGUGUAAGAAGGGCUCGCGUCUGAUUAGCUAGUUGGAAGGGUAAAGGCCUACCAAGGCGACGAUCAGUAGCCGGUCUGAGAGGAUGAACGGCCACAUUGGAACUGAGACACGGUCCAAACUCCUACGGGAGGCAGCAGUGGGGAAUAUUGCACAAUGGGGGGAACCCUGAUGCAGCGACGCCGCGUGAGCGAAGAAGGUUUUCGAAUCGUAAAGCUCUGUCCUAUGAGAAGAUAAUGACGGUAUCAUAGGAGGAAGCCCCGGCUAAAUACGUG